CUAGGGUUGGGUUGCCUACUAAGGGACCGGCUCAGGAGAUUUUGAACGCCCUCACUAAUGGAAGUUUUUUUUUUAAACCCAUGGGGAGGGGGGCUCCCCAUCUGAGGGCUUCUUUGAUUCAAAGGAUUCGCAAAGGAAUUUUGGAGGACUCUAAUCCUUAGGAAUUUUUCCCAUCUUGGUUGUUUGAUUCGUAGGAUUGUAAAUCAUAGGAUUUUUUUUCCAUAGGAUUCAUUUGCACUAGAUUUCAUAGGAAACAUCCCAUCCACUCAAAUCUUUUUGAAAGAAUCCUGCGUUUUUUCUAUGCACAAUCAAACACUUGUACAAUCCUGUAGGAUUCAAGACGACAUUCCACUCUAAUCUCAUGUUUUUCCUAUUCCCGCGUUUUGGAAAUCCUACGAAUCAAAGAGACCCCGAAUAUUAUUUCUCAAUCUUGCAAUCCAUCGUUUGACUGGUUGUUCCACCAUGGACAUCAAGAAUUCAAGAUAAGCUAAAAAAAAGAUGCCCACAUAGGGAUGCGGACGUUUGGUCUAUGGGUAUAUCUACACCCUAUAUGGAGAAAUAGUAAUUAAAUAAAAAUUCAAAAAAUAGAAAAUGUUUUUGAAAUAAAAUUGAUCUUUCAUUGUACCUGUGAAAAAAUUCCAUNNNNNNNNNNNNNNNNNNNNNNNNNNNNNNNNNNNNNNNNNNNNNNNNNNNNNNNNNNNNNNNNNNNNNNNNNNNNNNNNNNNNNNNNNNNNNNNNNNNNNNNNNNNNNNNNNNNNNNNNNNNNNNNNNNNNNNNNNNNNNNNNNNNNNNNNNNNNNNNNNNNNNNNNNNNNNNNNNNNNNNNNNNNNNNNNNNNNNNNNNNNNNNNNNNNNNNNNNNNNNNNNNNNNNNNNNNNNNNNNNNNNNNNNNNNNNNNNNNNNNNNNNNNNNNNNNNNNNNNNNNNNNNNNNNNNNNNNNNNNNNNNNNNNNNNNNNNNNNNNNNNNNNNNNNNNNNNNNNNNNNNNGAGAUCAUACAUAUGUCAGGGGAAGUGGCAACGGUACACUUACAAUGUAUUAGGACAUAAUUAGAUCAUACUUGAAACUCUUUUCAAAUGUAUUUUCCAAUUCUUAUUAAAGGAGGCAUAUGUAACUUGGAUCAUGAUUCAUGACACGUCCUUUUCCGGACGGUGUUGCUCUUGGGGGCAGACACAAGGGCAAUUGAGGGGCCUAUUGUUGCUGCCAAGAACUGUUUCAAAAUCCACUUUAUGGCACUACAUAUGACAUAUCUAUUGUUUUGGAGCAGGAACUGCUGCUGAUACCGAGGGUGUAAAAGAUAGGACAAGCUUAUCCAUUUUUGUGUCCUGUGCAGAAAACAAAUAAUUUGGCGCGAAUGUUUCCGUAUUUUCAAUACUCCGCUCGUGCCAACACACUUUUUGAAGUAAAGAAGAUCUCGCUCGUGCCAAAGCAUACAGAAUGAAAUAUGGGUGUGCUAUCUGGGUUGCUUCUCUUUCUUUCCGCUCAUAGAAAGGCCACAACGGGCUCUGGUUCCCUUGCUGCAAUGUCAGUAUCUGAAUCUAAAAAACGAAGGAGGCCUGACAGUGAGCGCCACUGCUGUAUUCUUCUCUCUGGAGAAAGAACACAAUAAUCAUGUAAGUAAAGGAGGUGGUAUUUGCAGUGACUUGGGUAGUGGCAAUGGAAAGUCCAUACCUUUUGUAAUUACGAGUACCAUUGAAUUGGGUCAUGAACAAGAGCAAUCGAUAUGGAUCGUUUGACUUACAACCCGUGCGUCGUUUUCAGAGGUAGGAUCGACAUGUUUCUCCAUUAUUGUACGUGCUAAAUUUAGUGCAGGGUAGAGAUUCCUUCACUGCUCAAGUCGUUAUCCUGAUCGCCACAACUUCAGCCUUCCACCAGCACUUGUCUCAAACUUGCCUCAUUGGGUCGCUGUCCUCUUCUUUAUCACACAGAACUUUUGGCCUUUUAGUACAUGGUAUGUCAGUUUGAUGAUCCUUUUAACUUCCAAUGUUCACAAAUUAAUAACCUUGUUAAACUCCACAAAAAACAUAGGACGGAAAGACAGUGCUUACAUUAAAAGAAGCUUGUUACUCAAAAAGGUAGUCGCAGAUUCAUGAGAUCUGAGGUUCCCUUUUAUUUUAACUGUCCAAGGUGACCUCAUCUAGCCUCAUUUCGGCAAUAGACCUCUCACAGUUGCAGCACAGGUAAACUGUACAUGCUGGAGAUUUUUUGCCGUUUAUCUUUCACCCGUGAAAUGGGGACAUAAAAUGUAUGGCAACUAGCUUGCCUAGUGCUAUUCAACAUUUCUGUACUGAGAUUGGGAAGCAGCAAUCAGGGCAGCCCCUAUCCCCGAGCCAUCAUCCGCGUGCUUGACGACUACGAACUUCGAUGACUCCUCCCCUAGCAGCUCAAUUAGAGUAGCUUCCAAGCAUUUGCUGAACUUGGCGUAGUGUUCGAACAGUCCUCCGUCGAUGGCGAUGACCGACCGACGCUUGUCGACCGAGCCAUCUCUCCCGAGCUUCUUGAGGAUCCCUGCAAGGCCCGCAGCAGCCAGCCGGGCUGCCCUUCUUGUUACAAUGUCGCAGAUCUCAACAAGCAUUUUCCGCGUCUCUAAGGAUGUGCCUGCAAUCUGGAGGGUAUGCAUACCAUCUCACUUCAAUUUAUUUAUUUUCAGAAAGAGGGCAGCACCCUCGCCUCUGCAUCAAGUGAUGCACGCAGCCUUAUUAUGUUAGCAUACCUCUAGGAUUUCUUUCAGUUUUUCUUCCACUAUCUUCAGAUCGGGUGUGUUGUCAUGGUGCAUUGCAGAAAUAUGCGGAGUCCUGCGUACAACAUAAAACCAGAUUUAUCAGCACAUGCCAAGUUUGAAUUUGGGAGUACUCCCUCCGAUCCAAAAUAAGUGUCGCAAUUUUGAACUAACCUUAGUUCAAAACCGCGACACUUAUUUUGGAUCAGAGGGAGUAGCAUUUUGCCAUGGUUAAUAAAUGGUCUGUUUAUUAGAAGAUUAAAGCUGAUGUGCGUCAACAAUAACAUGCACUUAAUCAAAUCCUUGAGGCAUGUAUGCAGCAUUAAGCCAGAUUUUAUCAGCACAUGUCAAGUUCAAAAUUUGGCAGGACUUGCUACAGUUAAUGAGUGGUCUGUUUGAUUAGGAGAUUAAGAACACCAAGCAUUAACAGGGGUAUGCAUUUGAAAGAAAUCCUGAAUUCCAGAUCAUCAACAAGAUAAAAAUUCUUUAUGACUACAUACACAUUAGAGCAUCAACCGCGAAAGGCUAGGGAAACAGCGUACCGGAGAUGGAAAUGAGUUUUGAGCUUAGUGCGGUCAAUUUCACCAAAAAUGGAAGAUUGCAAGGACAGUUUAAGCAACACCCUCCUUACAAUUUCACCUAAAUACAUUCCUGAGGUUAACUUCUCGUAGAUCUGAAAGAACCAAAGUAUACAAUUGAGCCAAUGCUCAACAGCAAGAACAGGCAAACUAUAAAAUAAACUUGCCUGCUCUCCUGGAUUUAAGCUUUCAUUAUCUAAUGAUUGAUCGUAUUCAGUGACUGGAAGAUGGCACGAAUAGAAAUUACCCCAUUCCAUAUUAAUGACCUGGUAUAUGAGAAGACAUCGCACAAAUAACUUAGAAACAACAAAAUAGUUCAGAAGAAUCCAAACAUAUCCUUGAGCACCACUAGGUUUGAAGUGAAAGGUUGUGACCUUUAAACCUCACCAUUUCUCCUGAAUUAGGCAGCUCUCCUUCCCAUUUUGGUAUGGCAUUUGCCUUCUCAACAUAAGCAGCAUUUGUGCCAGUGCCAAAUAUCACACCUGCGACGACAUCUUCAUCGUAGUAUCUGGCUCCAGCCAAUGUCCCAACAGCGUCAUUAAUCUAUUUCAGCAGUAAUCUCUUAGAAUGAGAAUUUUAUUUUGAGGUUACAACUAGAUUAUAUUAGAAACAGUGCAAUAUAAACUUCUCAAACACUUACUAGUGCAGCCACAUGCAUGUCUAGACCUUGCUUCUGCAUAGCUGUUUGCAGUUCAGCAACUACAUCUUUACCUACCUGAUAUGAGUGACAAAGAGAUUAAUUCAAAGGAAUAUCCAUCUAUAAACAGUUAAGUAUUUGAUUUUUGAUGAUAAACAUAGUUUAUUGAUACGAUUCCCAGAAUUCUUCAUCCACUAUGGUUUAGAAUCAAACAACGAUACGUGCUUCAAAGAGCCGUAUUUGGCAACAUUGUUACAUGAUACGAUGUACAAAUAUGCUGGGUAUGUAAGCACAAGGAAUUCUUACAGCAUCUUCUAUAGAAAAUGCCUUUGUCCACUUGACAAGGGUGCCCGAUGCAACGGACCGUUGCCUCACUGGGAAAGAAAAUGUGAAUCCUAGUUCCCGUGUCUUCCCGUUUGACAAGCUAGUACCCUGCUCUUCAUCAGCCACAAACUUGGCUAAUUCAGAAGCAAUGAAACCAAACAAUUCCUGUAAAAUGGAAAAUGAACACAAUCAAAUAAUAAAUCAAAGAAUAACAACAAUUCAAAUCAAAGUUGUCGAAUUAAGCAUAUGAAACCUACAGAUGAGCUCCCUGACAUCAAAUGUGGUGGGAUGGCGAGUUCUCUGGACUCGCGGCUAAUGACAUGCUUAUCAUUGCCACCUAGCUGCACCUUCAAGACACGGAAGUUUGUCCCUCCUAGGUCCAGUCCAUAGAACAAACCUUCCUCUCUCCUAAAUUUAGUAGCACGAAAGUAAGCAGCCAAAUAAUUCUAAUGGUGUUCACGGGUCAAACAUAAAAUUGCCAACUGAAAUCAGCUAUCUUUACCAUUAAAUAUAUUUUUUGGGACGAAAGGCACCGGGUGACCAUCUUUAAAUUAAUAAAGCCAACAAGUGGCAGGAGUCACACACACCAUAUAUUUAUCAAUCAGCUAACCUGAAUCCUGAUAAAAUAACACCGAAAUGGAUGAUAUUAUAUUAUAAUGUUAUGAACAUGAUAAGGAGCCAGUUUUUCUAGUUUCUCAUGACCGAUAUGUCCGACAUCCAUGAGGCCAGUCAAAAUGGAUGAUAAGGAUGCCAUGUUUCUAUUUUCUAGUUCCAAACUGAGAUAUCCCAUCCUAUGCUUAAUUCAUAGGACCAUAGUCUUUAAUGUAAAAUUGUACAUGUACUCCAUCAAACAUCAACUGAUUCAAGUUAAACAACACCUGCUACUUUCUCCACAAUAAGAUGUACUAACACAGAAACUAAAUGUCAGUAGGCUGACAUUUUCACGGAGUAUGAACACAAGAACUGAAAGACCAACGCUUCCUGUGAUUAGACAAACAGACAAGAAGCGAGAGCUGGAGUACAUAGAAACUAACCCGGUGGGGAGCUUGUCAACGUAGGAGAGCAGCAUCUUGACCCUGCUCCCACCCUCCUUCUCCAGUCCCGCGCACAUCUCGUCGGCCAUCGCCGCCGCCACGUCGCGCAGCAGCGACGCGGGCGUGGCGCAGUUCUCCCGGAGGUCCGCCACCACCUGCUGCUCCGCCAUUGCCGACGGCGCUCCCAAUCCCCCGAAGGCAGAUCAAGGGGAAAUGACUGAACUGAAACAGUAUAGCGGGGAGUUUGGAGUCGACGACCGCCCAAGAAAGAAGAUUUGAGAUAGGCGGGGGGCAGGAAUGGGGUGGCGGCACGUGAAAUUCGGCGAGACGAGCAGGGGUGGUGGCGCGACACGUGAAAUUUGGCUGGGAGCGCUCAUCUUUUCGAUCCGCUCGGUGGAGCGGCGGGGAAAGGUUCGCUCUGGCUCGUGUGUUGUCGUUCUGUUCUAGCUCUUCGGGAACCGCGCAGCACAAAUGCGGUUUAUCUGUGGAUCCCAGAAAUAAAAGUUUUCUUUUUAUAUUAAAUGACCCCUCAGAGUUAAAAAAAAAAUGACCCCUCAGAAAACCUAAUCAGCUCACUGACCUCUCGAAUUUAUUUUUUGAGAAACGAAAAAAUUAUUUCAGAAACGUGGCACUGCACACUCGCCGGUUGCCACCGUGGCACCUACAAUCCUACAUGUCCCGCGUGACGAAAAGGCGAGAUUACUUAUGACUAAAAUUUUGAAAAAUUUAUGUUUGAUGACAAUUUUGUCAUACACAUUGUAAUUUUUUGGUAUAUAUAAGGAUCAUUUUUUCAAAUAGAUGAUUACCACCAUUCCCCUUCCAUUUUUUGUGUUUGACAACUACUUUUUUCAUACACACUAUACAUUUUCGGUAUAUGCCAGAAACAUAUUUUCUACACGUUUAAUCAUUUGAAAUAUAUGAUUAACAUUUUUCUGAUAAACGAUCAGCAUUUUUUAAAUUUAUAUUUUUAUGCUCAAUUCGUCUAUGCAUGCUCUCCAUUUUUCUCGUAUACAUCAGGAAUAUUUGCUGUAUAUACAUUUAACAUUUUGUAAAUACACGAUCAGCAUUUUAUCAUACACAUUUUAUCAUAUACAUGAUAAACAUUUUUCUAUGCACAUUCAAAAUUUUAAAAUGAUUGAUUAACAUUUUUAAAUACUUAAUUAUUUUUUAAAAAUGCAUGAUGAUCUUUCUUCAGACACAUUGUAUAUCGUUUUGUAUACACUUUUCAUAUACAUGAGAAACAUUUUCUAUACACACAUUUAAUUUGUUUCAAAUGUUUGGCUAAUAUUUUUUUUAAUGUUUCAUGUAAGUGUUUUUUAAUAUAUAUAUUUAGAAAAUUAGGAAGUAUAAACAGAAUUAAAAAAGAAUGCAAAAAACGAGAAAAAAGGCAGUGGCGUCCCGCGCGCUGCGCCUGCCCAUUUAGGGAGGCGCCUGAAGCGAGCCGACGCUCUGUCUCGCUUCAAGCGAGACAUAGUCGCCCAUGGGCCGUCUGUCGCCCAUUGUUUUGCGCGCCCCCCUCAAAUCCUCCCGGGCCGGGCCGGGCCACCAACGUUCUUUUGCACGGUGGCUUCUUCCUCUCCAAACUCCAGCGGAACCCGCAAAAAUUUCGAAAACGGAAACGCUGGCGCUCCCUCCCGCACGCCGCGCCUCCACCCGAUUUCCAAUUCCAGUUUCCCUCCCGUCUCCCACCCCAUCUCCCCCCCUUUUAAAUUUCGAACGCCUCUCCUCAUCUCACACCUCCCGCACCAUCCACCCGACUAAUACCCCGCAUCUGGCCUGCGCAUUCCGCCGAGCGCAUGGACUGCGGCGGCGACGGCGGGAUGGACGCGCUGCCGGACGGCGUGGUGCAGGCCAUCCUCUCCCGGCUCAGCAGCGCCCGCGACGUGGCCGCCUGCGCGGGCGUCUCCCGCAGCUGGCGCGACUGCGUGCCCUUCCUCCCGUUCCUCUACUUCCCGCGGAGCGCCUUCGACGCCGCGAGGGGCGGCGGCGUCGCGUGCGCCGACGACGCCAUCGGCCGCAUGGUCCACGCCGCGGCGCGCCUCGAGGAGCUCGUCAUCUACUGCCCCUUCUCCGCCGCGCGCCUCCCGCGCUGGCUCGCCGCGCGGAGCGCCUCGCUGCGCGUGCUCGAGCUCCGGGUCGACUCCGCCUGGUCCGGAUCCGGAUCCGGCCACCUCGACUGCGUCGCCGCCGCCCCCAACCUCGAGGAGCUGCGGCUCUGGGGGCUCACCAUGACGCGCGAGCCGGCCUGGGGCCGGCUCGACCGGCUCCGCGUGCUGGAGAUCGUCGGCGCGUCCCUGGCGGACCUCGCCGUCAGCGGCGCCGUCGACGCCUGCCCCAAUCUCACCGACCUCGCCCUGCUCGGCUGCGAGUGCUCCGGCUCCGUCUUCUUGGCGACGCCCCUGCUCCAGCGCUGCCGCCUCGACUUCGUCGGCUCCGGCACCUGCUCGCUCGCGCUCGCCGCGCCCCUUGUCGAGUCCCUCGAGGUCCAGGGUUUCAACUAUAUCACCCUGCACGGCGGCGACCGCCUCAAACGCCUCACAAUUUCCAAGAACACCGGUGCGCACUGGACUGGGGCCCCCUACCCAUGGCCUUCCGCAGUUCUCAUUCGUUUCAUUCUGGUCUAAUGUCAAUUUCCGUUCAAUCUUUCAGGGAGGGUGAAUACUGUCGGGAUAGACAGGCUCCCGGUGUUGGAGCAGCUGUCUCUGCGUGGCGUCCAGUGGAGCUGGGGAGCCGUCAGCCAUGUGCUGCAAUGCGGCGCCGAGGCCAAGCAUCUGGUGAUGAAGGUUGAGUUCUGCGGUGAUUCCGACACUCUCCAGCCGUUUCCCGAGGUCGACCUUGUUGAAUUCUUCAACAGCCACCCGAAGCUCUGCAAGUUUGAGGUCCACGGCGCCAUGUUUGCGUCGCUCUGCCAAAAGAACAGCCUGAAAAAUGUGCGUCAUAUCCUACUGAUUAUCAAUCGCAUCCUUUCACUUCACGCUGGUGUAUGGCAUGGCUAAUUUUUUCCUCUGACAUUGCAGCUGGACUCGAGGUUCCUGAUAUCUUCAUUGGAGGAGGUCCUGAUCACCGUGCGCUCACCCUUGAAUGCCGAGCAGAAGCUGAUCACCAUCGAGUCCCUUGUCAGGUACAGUCCUAUGCUGCGGAGGAUGGUCCUUAGGAUCUCGCAGAUGAAGAACUGCCACGAGGCUGCAGAUGAAUUCUUUGAAGAGGUUUCCAAGUUUGCGCAUAUGAGUAAUGGCAGAGUGCGGAUUGAAUAGGAGGGGUGCUGCUGCAUGGCUCAGUGCUUUGGCUCUUGUGGGUUGCAACUGAACCGAUGAGACUCUUAUUGUGUGCUACUAUUGAGCUCAAUUCUGCUCGAGUAGUUAUGCUGUUUUGUUUGUCAUUGUUCAUGUGUGCUGGAUCUUAUCAGCAUGCUUAGGGUGAUUGUUUUGUCCUCUACUUGUUAAAAUUUUGUACCUCGAAUCUGUAUUGCUCCUUGUUUUAUGAGAGAUAAGAAACUACUUUACUUCAUUGCUCCUGCAACAGAAACUUAUUUUCAACCCUUGUGUAUUUGAUUCCAUCCCAUAUAGCCUUGAUAGAUAUGUCAAAUUGUUGAUGAUCUCAGUGGGAUAUGUGAAAAUUAUGUAUAAUUUUAAUGGGACAUAC
Molecule: long non-coding RNA, 8931 nt
Filed under: Triticum aestivum (bread wheat)
Lineage: Eukaryota; Viridiplantae; Streptophyta; Magnoliopsida; Poales; Poaceae
Description: long non-coding RNA (TAES_LNC028546)
Source: RNAcentral